RNAcentral lists this ribosomal RNA (756 nucleotides) under uncultured bacterium. RNAcentral describes it as "bacterial SSU rRNA". It matches the Rfam family "Bacterial small subunit ribosomal RNA", at positions 8 to 796 of the family's 1533-position model. The record is from RNAcentral.
AGAGUUUGAUCAUGGCUCAGAAUCAACGCUGGCGGCGCGCCUAACACAUGCAAGUCGAACGAGAAAGUGGAGCAAUCCAUGAGUACAGUGGCGUACGGGUGAGUAACACGUGGGUGAUCUACCUCUUAGUGAGGAAUAACCCUGGGAAACCGGGGCUAAUACCGCAUAAGCCUGAGAAGGGAAAGUCGAAAGACGCUGAGAGAGGAGCCCGCGGCCGAUUAGCUAGUUGGUGAGGUAAGAGCCCACCAAGGCAGAGAUCGGUAGCCGGCCUGAGAGGGCACACGGCCACACUGGCACUGAAACACGGGCCAGACUCCUACGGGAGGCAGCAGUGGGGAAUCUUGCACAAUGGGGGAAACCCUGAUGCAGCGACGCCGCGUGAGCGAUGAAGCCCUUCGGGGUGUAAAGCUCUUUCGGCAGGGAAGAUAGUGACGGUACCUGCAGAAGCAGCUGCGGCUAACUACGUGCCAGCAGCCGCGGUAAUACGUAGGCAGCAAGCGUUGUUCGGAGUUACUGGGCGUAAAGGGUGUGUAGGCGGUUCUUUAAGUUUGGUGUGAAAUCUCCCGGCUCAACCGGGAGGGUGCGCCGAAUACUGAGGGACUAGAGUGCGGGAGAGGAAAGUGGAAUUCCUGGUGUAGCGGUGAAAUGCGUAGAUAUCAGGAGGAACACCGGUGGUGUAGACGGCUUUCUGGACCGUAACUGACGCUGAGACACGAAAGCGUGGGUAGCAAACAGGAUUAGAUACCCUAGUAGUCC